GGGAACUGCGGGCCAGUGGGGGGGGGAAUGCGGGGGGUGCGAGCGUGAAUCGGAAUUACUGGGCGGAAAGGGUGCGCAGGCGGGUCCGCAUGUCUGGCGUGAAGUCACCUGGCUUAACCUGGGAAUUGCGUCCGAAACUAUGGAGCUGGAGUGUGGCAGAGGGAGGUGGAAUUCCACGUGUAGCGGUGAAAUGCGUAGAGAUGUGGAGGAACACCGAUGGCGAAGGCAGCCUCCUGGGCCAACACUGACGCUCAUGCACGAAAGCGUGGGGAGCAAACAGGAUUAGAUACCCGGGUAGUC
RNAcentral lists this ribosomal RNA (300 nucleotides) under uncultured Bacillus sp. RNAcentral describes it as "partial 16S ribosomal RNA". It matches the Rfam family "Bacterial small subunit ribosomal RNA", at positions 496 to 795 of the family's 1533-position model. Lineage: Bacteria; Bacillati; Bacillota; Bacilli; Caryophanales; Bacillaceae. The record is from RNAcentral.